This is a long non-coding RNA of Amblyraja radiata (thorny skate), 455 nucleotides long. RefSeq lists it as uncharacterized. Lineage: Eukaryota; Metazoa; Chordata; Chondrichthyes; Rajiformes; Rajidae. The transcript is spliced from 3 exons. The record is from RefSeq and is a predicted model, not a curated record.
CUCUCUUCCCUUUCCUGAUUUCUCUGUCUUUCAUCAGGGACAGACUAUUGACUGACGUCUACUACAAACCUACCAACUCCCAAGGUUAUCUGGACUACACUUCGUCCCACCCCAUCACUUACAAAAACGCUAUCCUCAAUUCCUCCGACUCAGCCGCAUCUGCUCCCAAGAUCAUGAUUUCCUUUCUAGGACAUCGAUGAUGUCCUCUUUCUUUAGUAAAUAGUGAGGCCACAUGCAAACUAGAGGAAAGAUAAGGUUCACUUCUUAAUAAAAGGAGGGUCAAUAGCCACAUUGUACUUUCUUGUUCUCUGAACUGUUUACAGUCAAUCAGAUUUAUCCGACGGGGGUGAUCUUCAAUCUUCACGGCGGUUGAUGUUGUUGGUAGCACUUGGUACAGUUCCUUUCAACACAGUCUCAAUUUCUUCCGGUCCCAGUACCUUAUCAUGCAGCCUUCG